Molecule: long non-coding RNA, 350 nt
Filed under: Setaria viridis
Lineage: Eukaryota; Viridiplantae; Streptophyta; Magnoliopsida; Poales; Poaceae
Description: long non-coding RNA (SVIR_LNC003765)
Source: RNAcentral
GUAUUUUAGUUAAAUGGUUAAAGUUGAAGUAAAAAGUUAACAACGUUAUAUAUUUAAGAGCAGAGGGAGUAUUUGAGAUGCUACGAUGGAUUAGAAGUUUCACCGUGAAGUUUUUUUUUGUUUGUUUUUCAUGAAUCCCGAGUGAUGAUAGUAAAACUCAAUGCGGUAUCCAAGCUAGCGAUGACAAAGGGAGUAUAUGAAUGUAUGAUUCGCACACUACUAGAAAACUGAUCUUUCAUCCCUAAUUUUAAUACCGGUUAGAUUUAAACCCGGUACUAAUACUAAGAUAGUAUUAGUACCGGUUGCAAAGGAUAUUGCCUGGAACGCACCAUGAGGACCCUUUAGUGCCG